GCCUGCAAAUGAAUGGUUGCCUCAAGUAAGCUACCAGAGAGCCUAGGAUGAUGGGUGUCACACAUGAAUGACAUGAUCCAUUAGCUUCUGCUUCGCAAGUUUCAACAGGUAAGUGCAGAAACAUCAUCGUACGUACUUUGACAAGAGAAUGCAGAGGUUGACCAAGAUAAGAAUUUCUUAAUGUCAAACUAUCAACGAUAAAUUGAAACUGGUGUAACAAAGAACCGAAAAGAUCUCUUACCAUUUUGGACGAGGUGGUCUACUCGUUUGGUGCUGAUCCCACGCUUCAUCUUUCUGAUGUUGCUCACGAUUGUGCAGGAACAACGCCCAAUUCAACCAAAUCCAAAAAAAAAAACUUGGGAGGAGCUAAGCUGUGCAAGGCAAGAAAUGGAUUUGCUCGGCCUAUCCUAAAGUUGGCAAACUUGAAGGAAACGUUCUGAGUUAUAGAUGUUGCGAGGGUGAAUUUUUGGGGGGUGUUGUUCCAUUGUGCCCCGCUAUUCUUGGGGAGUGUUUGGUGGUCGGAGGUAGGCGAGGUUUUGGCGCCGCAUCCUCAGGGCCCUCUAAUGUAGGGAUGAUGAGAUUUAUAGAACGAGAUCCAUAUCUUCGACAUGAUAGAUGCGCAAUGUUUUUCCUUGUUUUUUUCCCUACCAGAGUUCAAAUCCUACAGCCUUGUAAUAAGGGUCUGAUCAUCUCUGACUGCAAAUAAUACCGCUGCUCACCCUCAAUUUCCCAUACAAAUAAUAAUCGUGG
Molecule: long non-coding RNA, 750 nt
Filed under: Setaria viridis
Lineage: Eukaryota; Viridiplantae; Streptophyta; Magnoliopsida; Poales; Poaceae
Description: long non-coding RNA (SVIR_LNC005237)
Source: RNAcentral